RNAcentral lists this ribosomal RNA (449 nucleotides) under uncultured bacterium. RNAcentral describes it as "partial 16S ribosomal RNA". It matches the Rfam family "Bacterial small subunit ribosomal RNA", at positions 338 to 795 of the family's 1533-position model. The record is from RNAcentral.
CCUACGGGUGGCUGCAGUGGGGAAUUUUGGACAAUGGGCGAAAGCCUGAUCCAGCCAUGCCGCGUGCGGGAAGAAGGCCUUCGGGUUGUAAACCGCUUUUGUCAGGGAAGAAAAGCGCCAGGCUAAUACCUUGGCGUCAUGACGGUACCUGAAGAAUAAGCACCGGCUAACUACGUGCCAGCAGCCGCGGUAAUACGUAGGGUGCAAGCGUUAAUCGGAAGUACUGGGCGGAAAGCGUGCGAAAGCGGUGAAAUCCCCGGGCUAAACCUGGGAACUGCAUUUGUGACUGCACGGCUUGAGUGCGUCAGAGGGGAAUGGAAUACCGCAUGUAGCAGUGAAAUGCGUAGAUAUGCGGAGGAACACCGAUGGCGAAGGCAAUUCCCUGGGCCUGCACUGACGCUCAUGCACGAAAGCGUGGGGAGCAAACAGGAUUAGAUACCCGGGUAGUC